UAUUUAUCCAAGUUUUCUCAACUUGUGUUAACAGGUCCGCGUCACACCUGUUGUAGUCAUAAACUACAACCAUUAGCUCACCCAUUGGUCAACCGUCCACCAAAGCCCGCCCUCUGGGCAGGGGAAAUUCUGACAAGCCCCGCCUCUUCUUCAGUACAGGUUCAGGUUGGUCGUGGUGAUCUGGAUCAGUGCGCGCCACCUGUGGGAGAGAGUUAUGUUACUCCGUCGAUCAUCCGUGCCUCACAAGUGUGCUCAUGACGAGGAACUAACCUGUGACAUGUUUGAAAUGUCACCAGACAGCGGAGAACUUAGAUUAUAGUGACAGGAUUUGAUCAAGAGGGAAAACUUGGGUUGCCAUGUCUCUCCUGUGCGUGAGAGUUAAGAAAGCCAAACUCCAAGGACCUCCUGAUCCUCAUCUUGUAUCUCUGAUUUGUGGCCGGUGGUUUUGUUUUGCUCCCUCCUCUGCACUGUCGCGUUCCUCACUUCUCACUGGAGCAUAUGCUACGCUUACAUCCACUCGAACCAAAUACUGCAAUAAAUAAAAACAACCAGAUUUUUGCCUUUAAAAAUGUUGGGUUAUACCACCAUUUAAAAACUUGGGGUUAGGUUUUUUUGUUUUUUCCUUUAAAGAUUAAAUUGAUCAAACGUGAUGACAUUUAUGGACUCUUAUGUAUUAAGACGUAUAUGAUAGUGGAUAGUGGCACUAUAAAUGACCCAUACACUGUUAGUUGUACUAUGUCUGUGGAAUAAAAAAAACCUCAAGACAUGCAUAACUGCAGGUACUGCGCACACGCAAGAAUCCAUCACGUGAACCUGCGUAUACAAACUGCAAAUCCAUCCC
Molecule: long non-coding RNA, 841 nt
Filed under: Carassius auratus (goldfish)
Lineage: Eukaryota; Metazoa; Chordata; Actinopteri; Cypriniformes; Cyprinidae
Description: lncRNA (ENSCARG00000012094.1)
Source: RNAcentral